RNAcentral lists this ribosomal RNA (776 nucleotides) under uncultured Neocallimastigales. RNAcentral's name for it is "partial large subunit ribosomal RNA". It matches the Rfam family "Eukaryotic large subunit ribosomal RNA", at positions 24 to 649 of the family's 3401-position model. Lineage: Eukaryota; Fungi; Neocallimastigomycota; Neocallimastigomycetes; Neocallimastigales. The record is from RNAcentral.
UACGACUACAUAUCAGGCAUAUCAAUAAGCGGAGGAAAAGAAACUAACAAGGGAUUCCCUUAGUAACGGCGAGUGAAGCGGGAAGAGCUCAAAUUUGAAAUCUUCAAGGUUCUACCUUGACGAAUUGUAGUUUAAAGAAGUGUUUUCUGUUAGAUGAGUAGCAAAAGUUCCUUGGAAUGGGACAUCAUAGAGGGUGAGAAUCCCGUAUUUGGUUAUUCAUUCUAGCUUUGUGAUACACUUUCAAAGAGUCGGAUUGUUUGGGAAUGCAGUCCAAAAUGGGUGGUAAAUUUCAUCUAAAGCUAAAUAUUGGCGGAGAGACCGAUAGCGAACAAGUACCGUGAGGGAAAGAUGAAAAGAACUUUGAAAAGAGAGUUAAACAGUACGUGAAAUUGUCAAAAGGGAAGCGUUUGACACCAGUGUUGUUUUUCCGAAAAUCAAUUACGAAUGGCUUGAUUUUGUGUUGUAUUGACCUUAUCAGCUUUCUUCACUUUUUUCGAGUCUUUCUUAAUGCACUUUUCGGUUAACAAGUCAACAUCAAUUUCUUUUGUUGUAAAAGAGUAUUCGGAAGGUGGCUUUCUUUUCGGAGAAAGUGUUUAUAGCCCUAUACUUCUACAAUCGGAGAGAUUGAGGUCUGCAGCGUAGAUCCUUCGGGGUUAGAUACACUUGUGCUAAGUUGUAGCUUUUCAUAGACAACUUGUUGACUAUGUUUAGUCAUGCGGCUUACUCGCUUGUGCUAUUUUACCUACGCUUAGGAUGUUGAGUAGCGACAUACGCAC